UACGAAGGGGGCUAGCGUUGCUCGGAAUCACUGGGCGUAAAGCGCACGUAGGCGGAUCUUUAAGUCAGGGGUGAAAUCCUGGAGCUCAACUCCAGAACUGCCUUUGAUACUGAGGAUCUUGAGUCCGGGAGAGGUGAGUGGAACUCCGAGUGUAGAGGUGAAAUUCGUAGAUAUUCGGAAGAACACCAGUGGCGAAGGCGGCGAUCUGGGAAGUUACUGACGCUGAGGUGCGAAAGCGUGGGGAGCAAACAGG
Molecule: ribosomal RNA, 253 nt
Filed under: uncultured bacterium
Lineage: Bacteria
Description: partial 16S ribosomal RNA
Rfam family: Bacterial small subunit ribosomal RNA
Source: RNAcentral